CAGAGGGCGCGAGCGUUGUCCGGAAUCACUGGGCGUAAAGGGCGCGUAGGUGGCCACCAUAAGGCCGCGGUGAAAGUCUGGAGCUCAACUCCAGAUCGGCCGCGGCGACUGUGGGGCUUGGGCACGGUAGAGGCAGAUGGAAUUCCGGGUGUAGCGGUGGAAUGCGUAGAGAUCCGGAAGAACACCAGUGGCGAAGGCGGUCUGCUGGGCCGUGGGACCGAAAGGUCUCUUGAGCCGACACUGAGGCGCGACAGCGUGGGGAGCAAACAGGAUUAGAUACCCUGGUAGUCCACGCCGUAAACGAUGGGCACUAGGUGCUUUGGGGAGCGACCCCCGGGGUACGGCGCUAACGCAUGAAGUGCCCCGCCUGGGGAGUACGGCCGCAAGGCUG
Molecule: ribosomal RNA, 391 nt
Filed under: uncultured organism
Description: bacterial SSU rRNA
Rfam family: Bacterial small subunit ribosomal RNA
Source: RNAcentral